CAUUGAUGGUGGCAACGUGUAAGUGCCCCUGAGGCCAUUCCUGAAUUGCAGCUAGCAUGGAAGCAGGAAGGUCGUAGGUCUGGCCAAGCCAGAAAUAGCUGAGAACUGGCUCCGGAAAACUGGCAGAAUCAAACCCAAGCUGUGCUCCCCAGUGCUAAUUGGGAAUUCAUCAGGAGAAACAAUGACCAGCCAGAAUAAUUAGGAGAAUGAGCUAAUGGAACCUGCCCACCCCAAGCUUUGUUCAUCCUAGGAUGGCAACCAGUCCUCCCCCAGGCUGGUCCACAGCUGUCUCGAGGGAGGAGGGCUGUGUGGGGGCAGAGGCAGAGUGUGCCUCAUUUCAGCAUGCCUAUCUUUAUCUCCACCAUCAGUUCUCACGAAUGCUGCGCUGAGCUCACCAGACGGGGCAGCCGGGGCCAAUCAUCCAAGGCUUAGGGAGACCUGUGGAUGCUGGCAGCAAGGCAGGGCCAUAAGAUGCAGACUAGAGCCAGGCGUUUCCCGGGCCCCUGCUCCUCAGUGGUGCAGCCACAAGCAGAAUUUUCAGAAGCAUGGAUGGGAUUUCCGACUUCAUCUAGACUUCACAUCCGCUUUGUUCAGAAAAGAAAACUCAGGCCCGGAGACGGAUAGUUAGUGAUUUGCCAAAGGUCGUGUAGACAUCAGUAUUGCUGCCAUCCCAGGAGCCAGACUCAAAUCUCCUUACUGACCUGUCUAUCUCAACACCCUUUAGAAAGAGAGCCACCAACACUGGAGUUGGAGAGGCUAGGGGUUUGUUUGAACAGAGAAGGGAUAGUGUGAGGUCAAGGAUGCAAAUUUCUAAAAUUCUGAGCUGGGUUAAAAGAAAAAUCUUUCUCUACUGUGGUAAUAUCCACAUUGGAACAAGGGACCCUCCUCUCAUCCCUUCAUCACCAGACUAUAUUCAAGUCACGUAUCCCCACCCAGAGGGAAAGGUUAGCUGCAGAUGAAGAAGAUGGAGCACAAACACUAUUAUUGCCUGAUUCACUUUGUGGAAAAUUUUCUAAUCCUGGCCCUGCCAUUUCCUGGCUGCGUGUCCUUGGGGCCCAGGGGACAUUCUGUUCCAGAG
Molecule: long non-coding RNA, 1078 nt
Filed under: Homo sapiens (human)
Lineage: Eukaryota; Metazoa; Chordata; Mammalia; Primates; Hominidae
Description: HSALNT0098098
Source: RNAcentral